AUUGAACGCUGGCGGCAGGCUUAACACAUGCAAGUCGAGCGGAGCGAGGGUGCUUGCACCUUAGCUUAGCGGCGGACGGGUGAGUAAUGCUUAGGAAUCUGCCUAUUAGUGGGGGACAACAUUCCGAAAGGGAUGCUAAUACCGCAUACGCCCUACGGGGGAAAGCAGGGGAUCACUUGUGACCUUGCGCUAAUAGAUGAGCCUAAGUCGGAUUAGCUAGUUGGUGGGGUAAAGGCCUACCAAGGCGACGAUCUGUAGCGGGUCUGAGAGGAUGAUCCGCCACACUGGGACUGAGACACGGCCCAGACUCCUACGGGAGGCAGCAGUGGGGAAUAUUGGACAAUGGGGGGAACCCUGAUCCAGCCAUGCCGCGUGUGUGAAGAAGGCCUUUUGGUUGUAAAGCACUUUAAGCGAGGAGGAGGCGCUCUAGGAUAAUACCCUAGAUGCGUGGACGUACUCGCAGAAUA
This 467-nucleotide ribosomal RNA is filed under the name Acinetobacter sp. oral taxon C51. RNAcentral's name for it is "bacterial SSU rRNA". It matches the Rfam family "Bacterial small subunit ribosomal RNA", at positions 30 to 488 of the family's 1533-position model. The record is from RNAcentral. Lineage: Bacteria; Pseudomonadati; Pseudomonadota; Gammaproteobacteria; Moraxellales; Moraxellaceae.